RNAcentral lists this transfer RNA (79 nucleotides) under Acinetobacter baumannii. RNAcentral's name for it is "tRNA-Arg". It matches the Rfam family "tRNA". From Rfam's summary of the family: Transfer RNA (tRNA) molecules are approximately 80 nucleotides in length. Lineage: Bacteria; Pseudomonadati; Pseudomonadota; Gammaproteobacteria; Moraxellales; Moraxellaceae. The record is from RNAcentral.
GCGCUCAUAGCUCAGCUGGAUAGAGCACUUGGCUACGAACUAAGGGGUCGGGAGUUCGAAUCUCUCUGAGCGAGCACCA